Molecule: long non-coding RNA, 201 nt
Filed under: Salvia miltiorrhiza (redroot sage)
Lineage: Eukaryota; Viridiplantae; Streptophyta; Magnoliopsida; Lamiales; Lamiaceae
Description: long non-coding RNA (SMIL_LNC004181)
Source: RNAcentral
GGUUUAGAAGAGGAAGAGAGGGCGUCUGGUGGCUGCUGCGGUGCUGCUGUCCCAGCGGCGCUACAGCUGCGCUGUUGACGGCGGGAGUAGAGGCGGCAGCGGCUGGCUGCUCGCCGGAGCAGGGGGCCGGCGUCAGAUGGCUGUCUGGCCACGACGGAGAGAGAGGUUGGGGGAGAGAGGAAGGCUGGGAAGAAAGGGGUC